RNA transcript from Ziziphus jujuba (common jujube), 1066 nucleotides. RefSeq lists it as uncharacterized. The record is from RefSeq and is a predicted model, not a curated record. Lineage: Eukaryota; Viridiplantae; Streptophyta; Magnoliopsida; Rosales; Rhamnaceae. The transcript has 4 exons.
UUAAAAAAAAAAAAAUUGAAAACAAUAGUCUCUUUGUGUGUCAGGUAAGAACAGAGGACGGAGAAGAGAGUCUGAGAGCACCAAGCUUUAGAAACCAUGUCGGAUCCGUACGGGCGCGUGAAAGGAGACAGACUGACAUUCAAAGGUGGGGUUUUGGCCACGCGCAGCAAAACAAUUGAGAAAAAGAAGAAGAAGAAGAAGAAGAACAAGCAGCACAAUCAAAACCCUAACCCUGACCAUCACGACGCCGUUGAUGGUGUGGAGGUCGAUCCUUCUGCGUCCGUCGUCGUCGGCGACGACGACUCCACAGCCGGUGCCGGUGUCGAGUAUACAAUCGAUGCCGCGAAGCGAAUGAAGUACGACGAGCUUUUCCCCGUCGAGGCUAAGAAGUUCGGGUACGAACCGAAAUCCAAAGCCAAGUCGGUGGAGUCCGCUCUUGACGACCGUGUCAAGAAGAAGGCCGAUCGCUACUGUAAAUGAUUUUUGCUUCUUAGCUUUAACGCUCCAUUGAGUUUUCUGCACACUCUUUGAUGAAGACUGGUUUGAAAGAUUAGCUGGCGGUGAACAUUUAUCUUUGGUUGAGUUUAAGGAUUUUUCAGCUUUUACUAGUACUGAAAAGUAUACAACACCCUCUUCGACCUAGGCUCAUAUCCCUCCUUCAAGUUUUGCGCUACUGACGGAUAACUUGGCUGUUUCUAUGAAGUUAAAAAGUUUUCACUGGAAUCCCCUAGUCUUAAAUCUGUAAUUGUAAACCAUGACCCACCAAUACACCUUGAAUUCUGCUGUUGCUUCAAACUUUGUCAAUUCAUUAUGGAUGGCAAAUUUAGUAGUUCCAGAAUAAGUUAUGCUUGUAGUAUGUCAGUGGAAUGUACCUUCGAGAGUGGCUUUUCUUCAGAUACUUUGAAUCAAGUAGUAGGGCAUAUGGCAAAUUGUUACGACGACUGCAAAAAGAAUUAUUAAUCUUCUACUUCUUUUCUUCGAUGUUGUAAUAGUAUAUUGUAGUUAUAAAAAUUUAGAGGUAAGUUUCUAAUACGUCAUCAAAUUAAUGAAUGAUUUAAAUUAGACA